RNAcentral lists this long non-coding RNA (1308 nucleotides) under Meleagris gallopavo (turkey). Its description in RNAcentral is "lncRNA (ENSMGAG00000018657.1)". The record is from RNAcentral. Lineage: Eukaryota; Metazoa; Chordata; Aves; Galliformes; Phasianidae.
AUCUUUUUCCACCCGUAGAGGUAGUGCUGCAGCCUGCAAGUCGGUCAGCGUGUGUGACAUGGUGGUAGUGCAGAGGUUAGUCUGCAGCUUGUAAUAGGAAGCAUUAGGGUGUUGCACUUCAUGUGCAGGGCUGCAUCCUUUUCAAAAGCUUUCUUAGCAGGAAAAUGGUCUGAUUUUUCACAAAAGAAGGGCUAUGAUUAAAGGACAGUCUGCUUCCCUGAUGGACGAUUUUGAUUUAGUAGAGGAGAUCUUUAGAUAACCUAAUGAGGAGAGUUUUGUUUUUGCAGUGGGAAACCAUAGCAACCUGCCACUUUAGAAUGCAUGGUAUAUAAUCUGUCUGUCCUUCAGACAGUAUUUUGCAGUCCAGAAAUAGUCGUUUCCUCAUGUGUGAAUGCAAAAUGUCAGACAAAUGUAGCUGGAGUGACAGUGUGGUCUCUGAGGUAAACAUGAGCCUUGUUGUGCUGUCCGUGUGGUGCUGCACGUUUGGAAAGCAGAUCCCAAAGGAGGACAAAGAGAUCACCAAAAGACAUGGAGAACCUUACCUGGACUGCAUACACCUGCAUUAGAGUGUAAAAUGGAAGAUAACAUUUUACAGGUUAUCAAUAAGGUCCCUGGAGGAAAGUAUGCAGGAGAGGACCCAUCGCUGCUGGGCCAUGGCUUGCAGAGUACUCCCUGUUAGUCAGCACUGUGACCACAAUGAAGCAGGACGUGCCAGGCAUGAGAGAGUAGGGUGAAUGAGAGCAAAGUACCCACGUGUCUGCUGGGGAGAGACCCUGAAUUUUAGUUUCAUAGGGGAUGAGCGACUUUGUGAAGCUGGUUGCCAAUUCCUGCCUGAUUGCUGCAUCCCAGCAGGGAUCUACACUUCCACCUAUACAAAGACCUUUGUGAGAAUGGGAAUUAGGCAAGUAGUGUUUACAAAAUGCUCUUGGUUUUCAAAGUAUUCUACCAGAAGGUAAAACAGAGUUAGUAACAGACAUUAAGCCUUUCUUUUGUUGUUUGCUCCAUUACUCCCACACAGAAUGACACUUUAUUCUGAAGGAGACCCCGGGCCACGCAUUCCUGCAGAGCUCUGAGUCUCAGCCACAAACCUUUGGGUCUGCAGUGAAAGUGUGUGCGCAGCCUGGAGGAAGAGGCUUUACGUCAGCUUGCACCUUGAGAAUGUGUUACACAUGCACUUGACCUCUUUUCCAUUGAUUUUGGGCACAGUAGCUGUGUGGCCUUAAUACUAUGAUUUGUGAUAUCUGAUUUAUUGCCAUAUAACUUGAAGUGAUGGUAUUAUUCAUAUAAAAUUAUGACCUCUGUGCAGAA